GCGUUUAUGCGUGAAUUAUCGUUAAUUUAUUUUAAGUUAAAACCUUUUUUUACAACGAUAUCUUACAAUGUCGCUUUAUACAUGUUCACGAAAUCAGUAUCUCCACGAAACUUGUGUCGUUGAAUUCACUUUCGGCCUCCAGUCACAUCCCUCCUGCUCAUCUUCUAAACGUCCAGCCUUCCGAAUCAUCGUACUUGCGCUCUUUCCCCUCUCUCCGUUUCCUCCGCGUUCCUGUGUCUGUGUUUCUGUGUGAUCGCCUUUGUGUUUCUUUAUACAGUCUACACGCUACUCCCUAAUAAUACUAUUUUAUUAGAAUAAUCUGUCCUCUCUCCGCCGUCUGCGUCUGUUCGUCUCAUUCCGCGAAAAAAGGUGCCGCGGUGAAAUAUCCGCCGCCCUUUCUCCCUCCUCUUCUCGUCAGUCUUUUCUUUUUCCUUCUCCUUUUCUCUCGUUUCCCUCUUUUCCAAGCUACCACGCCGCUCCAGGUCGCCCGCCAUCUCUUCGAACGAAACGAUCUCGAACAAUCGAUCCACCGCGUCUGUCUUUCAAUCUCGCUAUCUGAUCGGCUCGCACAGAAUCCGAGUAAUCGGCUUUGCAAACCUUCGCUUCGAAAGCUUUCGCGCGAAUCUAUUUCGCGAGCAAUCUGCAAGCACGACGCGGUGACGAGCAGAAGUUUCCAGUCCGAUGGAUCUCUCUGUCUCUCGUUACGUUACAUCUCGAAGACGAUAUCGCGAAGAAUUUCAAGCAACUGCACGACGAUACCUACGACAGGCACUAACGACGCUCGUAAUUUUCAUUUCC
This 798-nucleotide unclassified non-coding RNA is filed under the name Bombus terrestris (buff-tailed bumblebee). RNAcentral's name for it is "misc RNA ENSBTSG00005036833.1". Lineage: Eukaryota; Metazoa; Arthropoda; Insecta; Hymenoptera; Apidae. The record is from RNAcentral.